AUUGAACGCUGGCGGCAGGCCUAACACAUGCAAGUCGAGCGAGCGGCGGACGGGUGAGUAAUGUAUGGGGACUGCCCGAUAGAGGGGGAUAACUACUGGAAACGGUAGCUAAUACCGCAUACUAUCGGAUAACCCAUAUGGGAUUAGCUAGUUGGUGAGGUAAUGGCUCACCAAGGCGACGAUCCCUAGCUGGUCUGAGAGGAUGAUCAGCCCUCAUGGGAAUAGGACACGGCCCAGACUCGUACGGAGGCAGAAGUGGUGAAUAGUGCACAAUGGGCGGAAGCCUGAUUCAGCCGUGCCGCGUGUAUGAAGAAGGCCUUCGGGUUGUACAGUACUUUCAGUCGGGAGGCGUUACCGACAGAAGAAUCACCGGCUAACUCCGUGCCAGCAGACGCGGUAAUAC
This 403-nucleotide ribosomal RNA is filed under the name uncultured bacterium. Its description in RNAcentral is "partial 16S ribosomal RNA". It matches the Rfam family "Bacterial small subunit ribosomal RNA", at positions 30 to 526 of the family's 1533-position model. The record is from RNAcentral.